AUUCUAAUGUGGAGGGCUGGUAGUUUUAAAUUUCUGGGCAUUUAUAUCUUGGAGGACCCUCAUAUGAGGAGUUGCUGGAGAGAGAAGAAAAACAUCUUCUCUUUUCAAUUGACAAAAGUCAUAACAUAAAAUCUGGAAAGUUUCGUUGGUCUUCAUUAUUUUUAUCUAUCAAUCGACUUACAAAAAUGUAAAAAUGUUUUUGAAAAAUGAUUAGUCUUGAAGUUUUAUCCUCUUCCAAGAGAAGAUGACUGGUGUUCAACGAUUUUGUUUAUUCAUUAUUAUAAAAUUAGAAUAAUUCUCAGGAGAUGUGACUAUUCCUGAAAUUAUGAAAACAGAGAUAUGUAGCAAUUUCAUCAAUACCAACUUUUUGCUAUUUAUUGCACAUUAUUCCCUGACUUGCUUCCAGUUAUAUUUUUCAGUGCUGACUUUCAUCUUUGCUUUUGCCCAAAAAUCAAGAGGACUCAAAAGCAGAAUUUUGGACUAUGGCAGCUUUUCAGAAGUACCACAUAAAUUUCAGGCCCGGAUAAAACAGAAGAUUGCCUUAUUGAAUUGUGAAGAGCAAAGAAACAUACCCAACCCUGACUAGUUUUUUCUGAAAAGUAAUAUAGCCUGACAAUUGGAACAAAUUAGAUUUACUCAGAGCAGACAAGUUUGCAAAUGUAUAAUAAAGUCAGUGUCUCCGGAAGGAAGAA
Molecule: long non-coding RNA, 692 nt
Organism: Pantherophis guttatus
Lineage: Eukaryota; Metazoa; Chordata; Lepidosauria; Squamata; Colubridae
Source: RefSeq, a predicted model, not a curated record